Molecule: ribosomal RNA, 253 nt
Filed under: uncultured bacterium
Lineage: Bacteria
Description: partial 16S ribosomal RNA
Rfam family: Bacterial small subunit ribosomal RNA
Source: RNAcentral
UACGAAGGGGGCUAGCGUUGCUCGGAAUCACUGGGCGUAAAGCGCACGUAGGCGGAUUGUUAAGUCAGGGGUGAAAUCCUGGAGCUCAACUCCAGAACUGCCUUUGAUACUGACGGUCUUGAGUCCGGGAGAGGUGAGUGGAACUCCGAGUGUAGAGGUGAAAUUCGUAGAUAUUCGGAAGAACACCAGUGGCGAAGGCGGCUGUCUGGUCCGGUUCUGACGCUGAGGCGCGAAAGCGUGGGGAGCAAACAGG